RNAcentral lists this ribosomal RNA (745 nucleotides) under uncultured bacterium. Its description in RNAcentral is "bacterial SSU rRNA". It matches the Rfam family "Bacterial small subunit ribosomal RNA", at positions 33 to 773 of the family's 1533-position model. The record is from RNAcentral.
ACGCUGGCGGCAGGCCUAACACAUGCAAGUCGAGCGGUAGAGAGAAGCUUGCUUCUCUUGAGAGCGGCGGACGGGUGAGUAAUGCCUAGGAAUCUGCCUGGUAGUGGGGGAUAACGUUCGGAAACGGACGCUAAUACCGCAUACGUCCUGCGGGAGAAAGCAGGGGACCUUCGGGCCUUGCGCUAUCAGACGAGCCUAGGUCGGAUUAGCUAGUUGGUGGGGUAAUGGCUCACCAAGGCGACGAUCCGUAACUGGUCUGAGAGGAUGAUCAGUCACACUGGAACUGAGACACGGUCCAGACUCCUACGGGAGGCAGCAGUGGGGAAUAUUGGACAAUGGGCGAAAGCCUGAUCCAGCCAUGCCGCGUGUGUGAAGAAGGUCUUCGGAUUGUAAAGCACUUUAAGUUGGGAGGAAGGGUUGUAGAUUAAUACUCUGCAAUUUUGACGUUACCGACAGAAUAAGCACCGGCUAACUCUGUGCCAGCAGCCGCGGUAAUACAGAGGGUGCAAGCGUUAAUCGGAAUUACUGGGCGUAAAGCGCGCGUAGGUGGUUAGUUAAGUUGGAUGUGAAAUCCCCGGGCUCAACCUGGGAACUGCAUUCAAAACUGACUGACUAGAGUAUGGUAGAGGGUGGUGGAAUUUCCUGUGUAGCGGUGAAAUGCGUAGAUAUAGGAAGGAACACCAGUGGCGAAGGCGACCACCUGGACUGAUACUGACACUGAGGUGCGAAAGCGUGGGGAGCAAAC